This is a long non-coding RNA of Electrophorus electricus (electric eel), 242 nucleotides long. Lineage: Eukaryota; Metazoa; Chordata; Actinopteri; Gymnotiformes; Gymnotidae. The record is from Ensembl.
AGCAAGUGGUGCUGCACUCACAGCUUGGAGAGGGCACGCUUGUGCAGGAUGCAGACACAUUUGUGAGCACACAGCAUAUUAGCCAAUACGAACCAUCCACACUUCCCCAGCCAGCAUAUGACCAGCCAGCCCUGACACAAGGUUUCUCUAUCUCUGAAGGUUUUAGCCAGCAACCUCCACUCUCCACUGUACAGCAGCUGCAAGAUUCCAGCACACUGGAGUCUCAAGCUCUCACCUCCACC